CAUAUAUGCCAGAUUCUGUGGAAUGUAAAUGAAAGUUGGUGCUAAACAAAAAAAGUCUUCUUCAGGGUGGGAGGGUGAUGUCAGACCUGAGUGUAUUGAGGUGAACUUCAGCCUGGACACUUCUUUCACUAUUGGCUUUAUGCAAUAGUUGCUUACUUGUGUAAAGAUGAAGAAAUCUUUAUUAGCUCUAGGUCAGUUAGUAAACGAUUCCAAAGAAACUGUAUUCCCCUUAGAGUCUGAGUAUUGAAAAUACAUGGAGAAAUGAGUAGCCCAUAGCUAUGUCUGAAUACAUACCUGUCAUUCCUGUGAAGUCCUUCCUAAAAGGAGAGAUUUGUAGCCCAGACACAAUGCUAGGGCUAUUUCCACUCCAGGUUUAGAUGUUUACAGGAGACUCUUUUCUUAAGGACAUUUGUAUUUUUGUAAUGUUUAAGAAACAUAUUGGUUUUUAAAUAUUGCCUGUAC
Molecule: long non-coding RNA, 462 nt
Filed under: Marmota monax (woodchuck)
Lineage: Eukaryota; Metazoa; Chordata; Mammalia; Rodentia; Sciuridae
Source: RNAcentral